GCUGGUUCAGGUGCAGGGGCGUAGACUGGGGCUGGUGCUGGAUUGUAAACAGGAGCUGGUACAUAUUCUGAGGGGGGAGCAUAAGCCGGAGCUUCUGGAGGAGGGGCGUAUGCUGGGUAAGGUUCGUAUUGCGGCUGUGGCAAAUAUUCUUGUGGGGUGUAGGAAGGUUGGUGGUAUACAGGUUGUUCGUAGUAUUGCUGUUCCAUAGGUCUUUUCUUCAUUUUAAAUUUUUUGGGUUUCUGAUCUGGGUGUAGUAACUUAUUCAAGUCCUUCAGACCUACAAGCCUAGAAAGCCCUUUUAUGGCUUGUGCUUGCAUUUCUUUGAUGCCUUUAGAUCCUUUGAAAAAGGCAUCGAAUCCUUUUUCCGGUUUCUUAUGAGGUGGAAGACUGUAGUCAGAACCGUACGAUGGAACAUUGUAUGAUCCAUAAGAAGAAGCGGGCGGGGCGAUAUGUACUGUUUCCUUCGUUUUUCCUCCGUCUUUUGGAUCUUUGCCGUUAAGUUCUCCGUGUUCCUUCUUAUACUCUAUAUUUUCUGUAAUCGUGAAAAACAUUUGUGGAGAAAACUUCGAUAGAAAAAUUGAAUAUUAGAUUUUUCACAUACUUGCAAUAACAGUCCAUAUAAUCCCGGCCAAAGAUGCAAUAGCUCCAGCUGAAAGGCUAGCUCCGGAAGGUAUUCCCAAUUCCCACCUUUCUGUAAGCGGGGCAAACAAACGAUUUUCUUUGCUGUUAAGACGGCCGAUCUUUUCAUCCAAUCUCGUUACUCCAGCUGGGACUUCUCGUUUUACUUUGGUUGUCUGAAUCUAAAAUAAGGAUUUAGUUUCACAAAAAUCAAGCGAAAAUUAGUUAAUCUACGUACUUCUCCUCCCAAUCUUGGUUUGAUGUUUAAGGUAACCGAACCCAAAUCUGUGUUAUCCUUAGUGAUGUUGAAGGUAAACGGUAACCAUGAACUAAAGGAAGUUGGAAUUCUUAAUGGGAACCUAAAUGGUGUUGCUUCAUUACCAAUGACGGCCAAUGCCGUCAAAACGAGAAGAAUGCGUGCAAAUUCCAUCAAGAUAUCCUAACUAUCUUGAGGUGAAAUAGCUAGCUGGACUUGUAUAAAGCUUUGGACACUUUGUAGAGCUAGGAGGUGAUGGAUCACCACUGGUGAUCGAACGCGUCCGUUAACUAUGACUGGUGUAAGAGGUUUGUGAUAAAGUCAUCUAGACGAAUCGGAACUGAAGUGACUAGCUUCGGAUGCGCGGAUUGAAAUGUUAUCGUUGCAUGCCCCUCACGUAGGCUGUAACGGUAUGCAAGGAGGACUUGAGUCGUUGUGAAUCGUCACCGUUGAAAUCUACGGAAAC
This is a long non-coding RNA of Daphnia carinata, 1340 nucleotides long. RefSeq lists it as uncharacterized. NCBI's taxonomy places the organism in Eukaryota, Metazoa, Arthropoda, Branchiopoda, Diplostraca, Daphniidae. The transcript has 3 exons. The record is from RefSeq and is a predicted model, not a curated record.